RNAcentral lists this transfer RNA (73 nucleotides) under Ixodes scapularis (black-legged tick). RNAcentral describes it as "tRNA-Ala". The record is from RNAcentral. Lineage: Eukaryota; Metazoa; Arthropoda; Arachnida; Ixodida; Ixodidae.
UCCUGGUUAGCUCAGUUGAAAGUGCGCUCCGUUAGCCUUGGAGGGGUCCCGGGAUCGAAUCCCGGACCGGGCG